This 253-nucleotide ribosomal RNA is filed under the name uncultured bacterium. Its description in RNAcentral is "partial 16S ribosomal RNA". It matches the Rfam family "Bacterial small subunit ribosomal RNA", at positions 524 to 776 of the family's 1533-position model. The record is from RNAcentral.
UACGGAGGAUUCAAGCGUUAUCCGGAUUUAUUGGGUUUAAAGGGUGCGUAGGCGGUCGGAUAAGUUAGAGGUGAAAUCCUGAGGCUCAACUUCGGAAUUGCCUCUGAUACUGUUCGGCUAGAGAGUAGUUGCGGUAGGCGGAAUGUAUGGUGUAGCGGUGAAAUGCUUAGAGAUCAUACAGAACACCGAUUGCGAAGGCAGCUUACCAAGCUACUUCUGACGUUGAGGCACGAAAGCGUGGGGAGCAAACAGG